AUACGAAGGUCCCAAGCGUUGUUCGGAUUUACUGGGCGUAAAGCGUGCGUAGGCGGCAAGGUAAGUCAGAUGUGAAAUCCCGGGGCUCAACCCCGGAACUGCAUCCGAUACUGCCUUGUUAGAGUAAUGGAGGGGCAUCUGGAAUUCAUGGUGUAGCAGUGAAAUGCGUAGAUAUCAUGAGGAACACUAGUGGCGAAGGCGAGAUGCUGGACAUUUACUGACGCUAAGGUACGAAGGCCAGGGUAGCGAAAAGGAUUAGAUACCCCAGUAGUCC
RNAcentral lists this ribosomal RNA (274 nucleotides) under uncultured bacterium. RNAcentral's name for it is "partial 16S ribosomal RNA". It matches the Rfam family "Bacterial small subunit ribosomal RNA", at positions 523 to 796 of the family's 1533-position model. The record is from RNAcentral.